GAUGAACGCUGGCGGCGUGCCUAACACAUGCAAGUCGAACGGAAAGGCCCUGCUUUUGUGGGGUGCUCGAGUGGCGAACGGGUGUGAAACACGGGAGUAACCCGCCCUUGUCUUUGGGAUAUCUUUAGGAGACUGCGGCUAAUACCGGAUAGGAGCUCCUGCUGCAGGGGGGGGGUUGGAAAGUUUCGGCGGUUGGGGCUCGACUCGCGGCUUAUCAGCUUGUUGGGGGGGUAGUGGCUUCCCAAGCCUUCGACGGAUAGCCCGCAUGGGAACGGGAACGCCCACAAUGGGACUAAGGGACGGCUCAGAAGCCAACGGGAGGCAGCGGUGGGGAACAUGGCACAAUGGGGGGGAGCCUGAUGCGACAGCGCCGCGAUCGGGAUGACGGCCUUCUGGUUGUAAACCGCUGUCGGCUGUGACGAGGCGGGAGUGACGGUAAUGAGUAAAGAAGCACCGGCUAACUACGUG
Molecule: ribosomal RNA, 468 nt
Filed under: uncultured bacterium
Lineage: Bacteria
Description: partial 16S ribosomal RNA
Rfam family: Bacterial small subunit ribosomal RNA
Source: RNAcentral